RNAcentral lists this ribosomal RNA (492 nucleotides) under uncultured bacterium. RNAcentral describes it as "partial 16S ribosomal RNA". It matches the Rfam family "Bacterial small subunit ribosomal RNA", at positions 29 to 507 of the family's 1533-position model. The record is from RNAcentral.
AGUGAACGCUGGCGGUAGGCCUAACACAUGCAAGUCGAACGGCAGCACAGUAAGAGCUUGCUCUUACGGGUGGCGAGUGGCGGACGGGUGAGGAAUACAUCGGAAUCUACUUUUUCGUGGGGGAUAACGUAGGGAAACUUACGCUAAUACCGCAUACGACCUACGGGUGAAAGCAGGGGAUCUUCGGACCUUGCGCGAUUGAAUGAGCCGAUGUCGGAUUAGUUAGUUGGCGGGGUAAAGGCCCACCAAGGCGACGAUCCGUAGCUGGUCUGAGAGGAUGAUCAGCCACACUGGAACUGAGACACGGUCCAGACUCCUACGGGAGGCAGAAGUGGGGAAUAUUGGACAAUGGGCGCAAGCCUGAUCCAGCCAUACCGCGUGGGUGAAGAAGGCCUUCGGGUUGUAAAGCCCUUUUGUUGGGAAAGAAAAGCAGCAGGUUAAUACCCCGCUGUUCUGACGGUACCCAAAGAAUAAGCACCGGCUAACUUCGUG